Molecule: ribosomal RNA, 454 nt
Filed under: uncultured bacterium
Lineage: Bacteria
Description: bacterial SSU rRNA
Rfam family: Bacterial small subunit ribosomal RNA
Source: RNAcentral
GACGAACGCUGGCGGCGUGCUUAAUACAUGCAAGUCGAGCGGGGUUACUACGACAGAUUCCUUCGGGAUGAAGUUGUUUUAACCUAGCGGCGGACGGGUGAGUAACGCGUGGGCAACCUGCCCUAGAGCCCGGGAUAACAGCGGGAAACCGCUGCUAAUACCGGAUACCUUUAUUGGGAGGCAUCUUCUAAUAAAGAAAGUGUUAGCGCUCUAGGAUGGGCCCGCGUCCCAUUAGCUAGUUGGUGAGGUAACGGCUCACCAAGGCGACGAUGGGUAGCCGGCCUGAGAGGGUGGACGGCCACACUGGGACUGAGACACGGCCCAGACUCCUACGGGAGGCAGCAGUAGGGAAUAUUGCGCAAUGGAGGAAACUCUGACGCAGCGACGCCGCGUGAGCGAUGAAGGUCUUCGGAUCGUAAAGCUCUGUCCUCAGGGAAGAAGAAAGUGACGGUAC